CACACACCAAACAUAUAUCUAAAAAGCCAGCUGCCCCUUUCUCGAUCUGGUUCACGAUUCGAAGUCUAUGGCCUCUGAAAUUCUUGAAAUCAAUGUAUACAGAGGCAGCAACGCAGGAGGAAGCUCCACCGCUGCCUGCUGCCGAGGAGAAGCCGCCGGAGAAGGCAGAUGAUAAUAAGGCAGAGCAAGGAGAUGAAAAGAAAGCCGGCCACCCCCUUUCUCUCAGACCGUCCAAGCCGUCAUUCUUCUUUCUCUCCAAGCCCAACCCAUCUACCGAAGCCACUGAGGGUUGAAUCGACGGUCAGAGCAGAUAAGAUAAUGGCACAGCUGAUUGGCGUCGAGAUUGAACAAGGAUUCGCCCUUUUCUCCAAGCCCUAACCCUAGCUCCCUCUCUCAUUCGAAGCCCUAAAUUCGAAGGACAUGAAUUGAGACCGACAAGGCUUCAAUGCGAGAUGAGAUCAUCGACUAUGUCAAAUUCCUCCAGCUCCAAGUCAAAGUUCUGAGUAUGAGCAGGUUGGGCGGUGCUGUAGCUGUUGCCCCCCUUGUUGCUGAUAUGUCCUCUGAGGUUGAGAGAAAAAUUGAUCUGGUAUAUGGUGGAGGCAGUGUUGGUCUAAUGGGAUUGAUCUCUAAAACUGUUUUUGAUGGUGGUUGUCAUAUUCUUAGAGUAAUUCCAAAAGCUCUUUUGACACAUGAAGUAAUAAUACCACUUUCUUGAUAUCAUUGGUUUUGGAGAUAUUCUAUGAAAGGCAAGAUCAAAUGAUGCAACUACUUCAAUCUUUGAAUGCUAACAACCAGUCCUCUCCCAUUGCUUCACAUCAAGACUCACCUUCUGAAGAUUUGGUCGGCAAGUCUUGUGAGCUAUUGCAUUUUCAUGGGACAAAAUCAGUUGUCGCCAAGGGGGUGAUUGAUUCAAUGGAUCCAACUGUUGGAGAGUAUGGAUCAUUGACCUCAUUGAUUCCAGUGUGCCCUUAUACAGGCCUGAAAUUCGUGGCUUUGAUUUGAAAGACGCAUAUGUUACAGGAUUUUCAAUUGCAUGGCCUAUCAAGUACAUCAAAAUUUGUCAAAGCUAGGAUUGCGGGUUUCUGUUGCCGUUACUUUUUUUGUUGCCGCUAUAUUUUUUGUAUGGCUCAAGAAGUUGCAAGAAGAUAUGAAGAAUUUUUUUUUAUUUCGGUUAAGUAAAUAUAUAAGGUGUCGAUCAUGUACUUCUUUCAAAUUUGUAUAUGGUUAAUUUUUGUAUAAAACAAUGAUUUGGAAUUGAUUUUAUAUAUAUAUAUAUAUAUAUAUAUAUUAGUUGUAAAUUAUUUUGGUUCUCAUGCUAUUUUUUAUUUAUUUAGGAUUGGUGAAGCUGUAAGGCUAGUAGUAGCGUAAAAAAAAAAAUUAAAAAAAAAAAAAGGCUUCAUAAGGGCUAAAUUAUUAUUUAAAAAAAAAAAAAAAUUAUAUAACAUUUUUUAC
This is a long non-coding RNA of Cornus florida, 1452 nucleotides long. RefSeq lists it as uncharacterized. Lineage: Eukaryota; Viridiplantae; Streptophyta; Magnoliopsida; Cornales; Cornaceae. The transcript has 7 exons. The record is from RefSeq and is a predicted model, not a curated record.